GGGCAGUGGGCUCCAAGGUCAAAAUUCUGAAUACAGGAUACAGAGGCUUGGGCCAUGCUGAGGAGGUCCUUCCAGAACCCCGUGUCCCUAGCCUGCCCUGAAUGUGAUUCUCUCAUCAAUGUCAUUGGUGAAAGCCCCAGGGGUCUAGUGACCAGAGGGGAAAUGAAAGUAAGGUCAGUAUCUGCCUAACCCAAUACCCUGAUGCGGCCCCAAGAAGCAACAAGGAUCCUCUUUCUACAUUUUUGUUGUUUCCCUCCCCACAUUGAUUCUGCCCACUGAUGCUUUAUACUCAGAGGUUAAUUUUCAAUCUUCACUCGACCACUCGUGAGCUA
This 332-nucleotide long non-coding RNA is filed under the name Homo sapiens (human). RNAcentral describes it as "HSALNT0102897". Lineage: Eukaryota; Metazoa; Chordata; Mammalia; Primates; Hominidae. The record is from RNAcentral.